RNAcentral lists this long non-coding RNA (1408 nucleotides) under Panax ginseng (ginseng). RNAcentral describes it as "long non-coding RNA (PGIN_LNC013216)". The record is from RNAcentral. Lineage: Eukaryota; Viridiplantae; Streptophyta; Magnoliopsida; Apiales; Araliaceae.
GUGGUUCAACUAUUACCCUCUAUAAUAGUAGCCUAGUCAACGUCCAAUACCAACUAGUAUUGGAGACUUACUUUUAUUAAACUUUUUCAAUUACAAUACAAGUUCCAACCACUUGAGCACGUUUGCUCCCUGUGCAAUUAUGCACCCUCAAGCACUUAUGCUUUCUUCAAACUUGAUUGUAAUAAUAUAAUAGCCCAAACCGGAUUAUAAUUUAGAGAAUAUUGAUUUGUAUAAGAAAUAUAAGAUACACAAUAGAGGUCUAAUGAUCAAGAAAUAAAUCACUUACCAAUGCAAGGUUCUAGUAUGUAAUGAAAAGCAAGAAAAUUAUUACCAGAGUAUUUUCUACAAGAUCACUUUUUGCAGUAGCUCAGUUAAUAGCAGUGAACAUUAAUCGGAAGAAUCACAAAUUUGUAGUAUAUAUGUAAUCAGUUUCAGUAGGUAAUUCUUGCGUCGUUCUUAUCGAUAGUUUUAGUCCUUUUAUAGCCAAUCAUGAGAAGUUACCAUUGCAUAGAAUUAAUGUGUAGAGUAAAUCUACACACACAUCCAAUUUACACUUUCCUUACCGAUACGCGGGAGCUCGGGUCGUUUUGAAUGUUUUUUCCUUUCUGUUCCAUAUCUCACCACGCCUCCUCUUCCUCCUCCUCCGUUAACUGUUCUCUGUCCCAAUUUCUCUCAAAUCCAAUCAUGGGGUUUUAAGCCAAUGAAAAACUUGAAAACCCAAAAAUUGAUUAGAAAUCAUCCUAUUUUCGUUAUAAUUCCCCAUUAGUCAAAGUGGGUCUGAUUGGAUUGAAAGUAUAGAAAUACAAUAUAAAUAUUAUGCACAUGUAAGUGCAUGUAAUUGAAGCAACAUGUGCAAAUUAGAACUUUAAUGUUAAAGAAAAUCAGUACAUAACUCCCACCGCUUCGAAAUCUUGAGAACAAAUUCCCCAACUUCUUCCGUUAUAAUCUUCGUCAUCUUCUUCUUCGUCUCCAAAUUGUAAUAAAUUCGUGGCAAACCUAGAAAUCUUCGUCACUGCCUUAUUAGAGGAAAGCAAUGAGAGACUCGUUUUGAAGCAGGGAGGGACGGAGGAGGGAGGUGGUGGAGCGAAGAAGUCGGCGACGCCGCGGAGUUGGCGGCCGAUAGUUUGGCCGAGGACGGAGAGGUCUUCUUUGACGGUGAGAGGUGUAGUAAGGUAUUGAUCUUGGUGAUCUUCUUCUGCUAAGGAUUUGAAGGGAUUUCUUCAUCAGAUGAAAACAAUUUGCUUGGAGAAGGGAGAGAAAUUGGGACACAGGACAAUUAAUAGAGGAGGAGUAGGAGUGGUGAGAUGUGGGACAUAAAAUAAAAAAAAAUAUCCAAAACGACCCAAGCUCCAGCGUAUCGGUAAAGAGAGUGUAAAUAAGAUGUGUGUGUAGAUUUACUCUUAAUGUG